Molecule: ribosomal RNA, 477 nt
Filed under: uncultured bacterium
Lineage: Bacteria
Description: bacterial SSU rRNA
Rfam family: Bacterial small subunit ribosomal RNA
Source: RNAcentral
ACAGUACUCCGUACGGGAGGCAGCAGGUAGGGGGAAUAUGCGACAAUGGACGAAAGUCUGACGCAGCGACGCCGCGUGGAGGAUGAAGGUUUUCGGAUCGUAAACUCCUGUCAAGAGGGAAGAAACCUAUUAUGAAUAAUACUCAUAGUAAUUGACGGUACCUCUAGAGGAAGCACCGGCUAAAUUCAGUGCCAGCAGCCGCGGUAAUACUGAAGGUGCAAGCGUUAAUCGGAAUCACUGGGCGUAAAGCGCUCGUAGGUGGCUUUGUAAGUCAGGUGUGAAAGCCCACGGCUCAACCGUGGAAUUGCACUUGAUACUGCAUCGCUAGAGUAUAGGAGAGGGAAGUGGAAUUUCUGGUGUAGGAGUGAAAUCCGUAGAGAUCAGAAGGAACACCCGUGGCGAAGGCGACUUCCUGGACUAUUACUGACACUGAGGAGCGAAAGCGUGGGGAGCAAACAGGAUUAGAUACCCUGGUAG